UUGAAUAAAAAAACAUUAUUCAUUUAUACAUAAACUGCAAUUAGUUUAGCUGUUAAAAUAAAUAUAAAUAUAAAUAAAACCAAACUGUUUCAACAACGGUGAUGGAUUAAACACUUGUUGUGCAUCUAUUUUCUAGACCGUUGUCUGUUUCAGUCACUUUUUAAUUAUACAGUAAAUAAUAUAAAACCAUCGUGAAGCUGUAGAUGAAUGUGUGCAAAAUGUACGAUUAUAUUUUGUCAAGUUUACAAAAGCUGUUGUGUGUCUGUUUCAAUCUUGUAAGAUGUCCCAGAACGCUCUCCUAUUAAUAAAAUAUAAAGUGAGCAAAUUUUCCUUACGAAUAAUGCUGUGUGUUAAAUUAAGACUAUGCAGAAAAAUUAGCGUUUGAUGUGAUUUAUGUGUUUUUCUUACGAUCAAAAUCGAGGCAGCUGACGUGUGAGAACAUAAAUGGCAGAGGAGCGUAAAGCCUCGACAGUCUGUCUUUGCAGUGGAGGAAGUCGGAUCAGCCGAGAUCAAGAAAAAGAAACAGCAGUGUUCUGGUGCGCUGUACCUUGUGGUUCUGGUAGGACGUCACAGCGAUGAAGGCCGUCUCGGAGAAGACGUGGGUGCAGAAAGCCGUGUUUUUCGAGCCGAAGCCGUUAUUCUCGUCCGCCUUGACGAUGUGGAGACGAGGCUGAUGCUGGGAGCUGGACUGUAGACUGGAGGCCAGGUGGAGGGUGAACGCAUAUAUAUGUCAGAAGGUAAACAGAUUUCUAGGAUGAUAUGAAUCUUUACGACAGAGACUUGCUGUUUACAUAGUAGUGGGAUCAAACCAAUGUAGGCCAGAAGGAAAAACAGGUUCAUAUUUAGUUUUCCAAGGCUGAAUAUGUUGGUGGGGGGUUUUACAUUUCUGUUAAUUCAGAGAAUAAAGCAGAGAGCUUGAUUUUUUUUGUAUAAACGGCUGUAUUUAGGUGAGAACCAAACAUGGCUGCCACCUUUAAACAAAGCGAUAAGGGAAACAUUGUGUUGUGAUAUCACGAUAUUCACAAUAACUGCUAUUAAAAAUUAAAAUACUGAAAUCCUGUUGAUAAUACACAUAUGAUAAUAACCAGGGAAGAUGUUAGAUCAUGUGCUUCUUUUGUUUAUCGGUUCAUCUGGUUGCCUCGUAUUUGUCAUUUGUCACUUUUACACUCACACAAUAAAUUUGUUUUGAAUUUACCAGGAAAAACCCACAGUAAACAAAGUUACAGAUACAUUUGAUUGUUUUGUUUUUCUCCAAAAUGUUUUGACAUAAUGAAAAUAUUGUUAUCGUGAAUUUGUUUGACCACAAUAAUUGUGUAUUCUAUAGCGCUCUUUAUCCCACUUUUAAAACUCAUCUCCACCAGACCACAUGGUGUUUUUUGUUCAUUUUUGUACUGUGUAUUACAAAAUACAAUCAAUCUGCUUGUCUGUGUCUGCUGAAUUGUACAUUUUUACGUCUAUUUACGAGUGUUAUGUCCCGUGUUUCAUUCCCCAAAAGCCUAACAAGGUACAAAGACUGCAGAUUAGCUGCAGCUAGAAGUCCAACAGUACGUUUAAUUAGAUGUAACAAUGUGAACAUGUAUCGUCCCUGUCAAUUAAACUAAUAAAUAAAUAAAAAUACAUCCGUG
Long non-coding RNA from Acanthopagrus latus (yellowfin seabream), 1625 nucleotides. RefSeq lists it as uncharacterized. The transcript is spliced from 3 exons. The record is from RefSeq and is a predicted model, not a curated record. Lineage: Eukaryota; Metazoa; Chordata; Actinopteri; Spariformes; Sparidae.